AGGACGAACGCUGGCGGCGUGCUUAAUACAUGCAAGUCGAACGAGAAGCCACCGCUCCGUAAGGAGUGGUGGUGGACAGUGGCGAACGGGUGAGUAACACGUGGGCAACGUGCCCUGGACACCGGAACAACAGUGGGAAACCGCUGCUAAUGCCGGAUAAACCUGCAGCGUCGCAUGACGCAACAGGCAAAGGUCCGCCGGUCCAGGACUCGGCCCGCGGUGCAUCAGCUUGUUGGUGGGGUAACGCCUACC
RNAcentral lists this ribosomal RNA (252 nucleotides) under uncultured soil bacterium. Its description in RNAcentral is "partial 16S ribosomal RNA". It matches the Rfam family "Bacterial small subunit ribosomal RNA", at positions 26 to 269 of the family's 1533-position model. The record is from RNAcentral.